Molecule: long non-coding RNA, 3029 nt
Organism: Oncorhynchus tshawytscha (Chinook salmon)
Lineage: Eukaryota; Metazoa; Chordata; Actinopteri; Salmoniformes; Salmonidae
Source: Ensembl
AACCCUGUGGCACCCCCAUAGAGACUGCCAGAUAUCUGGAAACAGUCCCUCCGAUUUGACACACGGAACUCUGUCUGAGAAGUAGUUGGUGAACCAGGCAAGGCAGUCAUUUGAGAAACCGAUGCUGUUGAGUCUGUCUAUAAGAAUGUGGUAAUUGACAGAGUCGAAAGCCUUGGCCAGGUCGAUGAAUACGCUGUACAGUAUUGUCUUUUAUCGAUGGCAAUUAUGAUGUAGUUUAGGACCUUGAGCGUGGCUGAGGUGCACCCAUGACCAGCUCUGAAACCAGAUUGCAUAGUGGAGAAGGUGCGGUGGGAUUUGAAAUGGUCAGUGAUCUGUUUGUUAACUUGGCUUUCGAAUACUUUAGAAAGGCAGGGCAGGAUGGCCUUAGGUCUGUAACAGUUUGGGUCUAGGGUGUCUCCCCUUUGAAGAGGGGGAUGACCGAGGCAGCUUUCCAAUCUUUGGGGAUCUCAGACGAUACGAAAGAGAGGUUGAGCAGGCUAGUAAUAGGGGUUGCAACAAUUGCGGUGGAUCAUUUUAGAAAGAGAGGGUCCAGAUUGUCUAGUCCAGCUGAUUUGUUGGGGUCUAGAUUUUGCAGCUCUUUCAGAAAAUCAGCUAUCUGGAUUUGGGUGAAGGAGAUAUGGGGAGGCUUGGGCAAGUUGCUGUAGGGGGUGAAGAGCGUAUGAUCGGGGUAGGGGUAGCCAGGUGGAAAGCAUGGCCAGCUGUAGAAAGUGCAUCAAGGAAAAAAAGUUUUUCUCACAUCGGCUGAGGAGAGCAUGAUCACACAGUCGUCCGGAACAGCUGAUGCUCUCAUGCAUGUGUCAGUAUUACUUUCCUCGAAGCGAGCAGGGAAGUUAUUUAGCUCAUCUGGUAGGCUCGUGUCACUGGGAAGCUCUCGGCUGUGCUUCCCUUUAUAGUCUGUAAUAGUUUGCAAGCCCUGCCACAUCUGACGAGCGUCGGCUCCAGUGUAGUACGAUUCGAUCUUACUCCUGUAUUGAUGCUUUGCCUGUUUGAUGGUUAGUCGGAGAGCAUAGCGGGAUUUCUUCUAAGCUUCUGGGUUAGAGUCCCGCUCCUUGAAAGGGGCAGCUCUACCCUUUAGAAUAGUGUGAAUGUUGCCUGUAAUCCAUGGCUUCUGGUUGGGGAAUGUACGUACAGUCACUGUGGGGAUGACGUCCUUGAUGCACUUAUUGAUAAAGCCUGUGACUGAUGUGGUGAACUCCUCAAUGCCAACGGAAGAAUCCCGGAACAUAAUCCAGUCUGUGCUAGCAAAGCAGUCCUGUAGUUUAGCAUCUGCUUCAUCUGACCACUUUUUUAUAGACUGAGUCACUGGUGCUCCCUGCUUUAAUUUUUGCUUGUAAGCAGGAAUCAGGAGGAUAGAAUUAGAUUUGCCAAAUGGAGGGCGAGGGAGAGCGUUGUACGCAUCUUUGUUUGUGGAGCAAAGGUGGUCUAGAUUUUUUUCCCUCUGGUUGCACAUUUAACAUGCUGAUAGAAAUGAGGUAAAACUGAUUUAAGUGUCCCUGCAUUAAAGUCCCCAGCCACUAGGAGUGCCACUUCUGGAUUAGUGCUUUCCUGUUUGCUUAUUGAGCGUGGUUUUAGUGCCAGCAUCUGUCUGUGUUUUGGUAUGUAGACAGCUAUGGCAAAUAAAGAUGAAAACUCUAAAGGUAGAUAGUGUGGUCAUGAGAUACUCUACCUCAGGCAAAACCUAGAGACUUCCUUAGACAUUGUCCACCAGCUGUUGUUCACAUAUAUGCAUAGGCACCGCCCUGUGUCUUACCAGAGGCUGCUGUUCUGUCCUACUGAUGGAGUAUAUAACCUGCCAGCUGUAUGUUCUUAAUGUCGUCGUUUAGCCACGGCUCGGUGAAACAUUUUACAGUUUUUAAUGUCCCGUUGGUAGGAUAUACGUGAUUUCAGUUCGUCCCAUUUAUUUUCCAGCAAUUGAACAUUAGCUAUUAUCCACUCGUCGCCUGAUCCUCACAAGGCACCCGGAUCUUUUUCCACUAAAUUUCCAUUUCCUUCUCCAGCGAAUCCCGGGGAUCUCGGCCUGGUCGGGUGUUUGUUGUAGUAUAUCCCUCCUGUCUGAAGAAGAAGAAGAACUCUUCGUCCAGUUUGAGGUAAAUAGCCAUAAUGCUCUAAACUGCUUUCGUGACAAACAAACUUUGCUACCCUGUUUCCAAUCAUCCACAUAGCUGGGAGAACCUAUUCAAGUACUACACAGAAAGCUGUGACGGCCUGUAUGCUGAUGAAGAGCAGUGGUUCUCAGUCUGGUCCUGAGGACUCAGGGGUGUACAUUUUUGUUUUUUGCCUUAGCACUACAUGGCUGAUUCAAAUGAUCAACUGAUCAUCAAGCUUCAAGUGAUAUCUUGCAACUGGAGAUUCCAUCAAAAUUAUUGCCUACAGUUACCGUGUAGGGCACUGCACGGUUGGGUGACCAGGACCAUCUGAGACUGCCUCGUGGGGGAAUUCACAUGCAAUAAGAGUAUUCUUCCAUUUACUUAGCUAUGUCAACUGCAGUUAUUCAAAUCCCAUUUUCUUGCCCUUCGACUUCUACUUCUCAGGUGAGGGUGCUGUUCAGGUAGGGGUGAUGUCUGUACAAAAACAGGCACUUUUAAGAGUCACCCAUAUUGGAAAAAUAUAGAACAAUUUGACACCCUACAACCCACACCUACAUUGUAUCAAUUUAAUUGAUGUAUUGUGUUGUUCAGUAAGCAGGCUCAGGUGUAUAACUGGCUCCUUCUAAUUUCAGAGAAUAGGCAAGAGGACCAACCAUGGAGAAUGAAGAAUCCCGUGACAUCGGCUGUAUCUGUGACCCUCUCCCGCUUCUGAACUGCCUGACACAUAGAGAGCACAGCAUGAUCAGAGGAAUCUUUUGAUGUGAGAGGAUGACAACUCCCAACCCUCGGGCCAAUUGGGGGCCCAAUGCUUGGGUAGGAGACAGCGCUAGAGACACUAUUAUGUAAUUGUGAUGACCUUAGAGACUAUGGAGUUUAGUUGCACUGCAUUUCAUUCAUCAUUAUGCUGUCUUCUCUGUUCUU